Molecule: ribosomal RNA, 497 nt
Filed under: uncultured bacterium
Lineage: Bacteria
Description: partial 16S ribosomal RNA
Rfam family: Bacterial small subunit ribosomal RNA
Source: RNAcentral
GAUGAACGCUGGCGGCGUGCAUAAUACAUGCAAGUCGAGCGAACAGAUAAGGAGCUUGCUCCUUUGACGUUAGCGGCGGACGGGUGAGUAACACGUGGGUAACCUACCUAUAAGACUGGAAUAACUCCGGGAAACCGGGGCUAAUGCCGGAUAACAUUUAGAACCGCAUGGUUCUAAAGUGAAAGAUGGUUUUGCUAUCACUUAUAGAUGGACCCGCGCCGUAUUAGCUAGUUGGUAAGGUAACGGCUUACCAAGGCAACGAUACGUAGCCGACCUGAGAGGGUGAUCGGCCACACUGGAACUGAGACACGGUCCAGACUCCUACGGGAGGCAGCAGUAGGGAAUCUUCCGCAAUGGGCGAAAGCCUGACGGAGCAACGCCGCGUGAGUGAUGAAGGUCUUCGGAUCGUAAAACUCUGUUAUUAGGGAAGAACAAAUGUGUAAGUAACUGUGCACGUCUUGACGGUACCUAAUCAGAAAGCCACGGCUAACUACGUG